AAUCCCUAUUUCUUACACUUCUAUCUAAAUUUCGGCAUAGAGCGUUAAGACAUUCUAGAAAGAUACUUCAGUUUAUUUUAAUACGUUCUGUGUUAGUCUGAUUUUUGGAUACUUUCUGUUUAGGUCGUCAGGGGUGUAUAUGCCCCACGUUUUACGAUUAGUUUUACUUUUAACAUAUGCCUUACAAUCUGUACAAUAAUACAGACCAUAAUUAUCAAGAAAAGGGUGUAAUUAAGUUUCAAAGAAUUAUUUUAAUAAACACGUGGUUAAACAUUACUUUACUAUACGAAUUGUAUCAAUGAGAAUUUCAAAUGCUUGAACGGAAAGUUCAGGGUGGGGCGCAUACGUCCCACACGGCAGGGAACGAGUCAAUAAAAUUAAGUUUCCUGUUACCAGCGGUUGUUAAUUUUUUCUACGUGCAGGCACUAUAUUAAAUGACAUGAUAGGGAAAAAUCGUAGUUUCCAAAGAAUUACAAAUCGACAUCGGAAAAGAAGCCACAGUGAGUGAUUAUUGAUGAAAUACUGAAUCGUUUCAAAUCUGAAUAAAUAAAGAAAACUUCAAACUCUAUGCGACAGUUCUUCUGUCGCCAUAGGUUUUUUAUGGAUUGGAAAAUACUGCAGAUUAGGAAUCGGUUGAAGAGUUUAUUUUCUUCCUUUCUAUAUAAUUCAUAUAGAGAGAAUAGUUCUUUUUGACGUCUUUUCGUAAAAAUCGAUCAGUUUAUAUAUAUUACUUUGAAUCGAAGAUCGUUCGAUCAGGAAGAAACGAACAUGGAAAAGAGAGAAUGAAAAAGAGAAGUCGAAAAAGUGAAAGAGAGUCAAGGUGAUGGAAAAUAUAUACAAGCCAAAAAAGAAGAUAGGAUUUUGUUCUAUACGGCCUUUGUGGAAAAAAUAAAAAGUUAAAGAAGGAGAUAGGAAUUGGAUGAGCAGACAUAACAGCCUCUCCCUUGGAAUGAAACAUAGUGAAUUUGUAGAGAUUAAAGGAUGUUUCAUCAAACUUUGAUAGAGGUAAUUGUCUCAUCCGUCGUUUAUUGAUUUUAUGGAUAUAACAAUUUGUUUUGGUAAUUAAAAUUUGGAUCAAUAAGUGGUAGGAUUGGCGCAGGUUUGAAAAUCUUGUUACAAGUAUUUUAAAAUUACAAAAGGACUAGAUUUGGGAAGUUACACAGUUUGAUAGGAUAUAUAUGUUAAGUGUAACAUAUGUGUAAGUUUGAUUUAGGGUUUGUGUUCUUUAAUUUCUUAAUUCCUUCAGCUAAUUUGUCAGCUGUUACUUAGGGUACUUCAAAUUUGUUGUAGAUUCUCAAACUAUUAUAGAUAGACUUAAAAAGAGAAGAUAGACUAAACAUCAUCAAUGGUACUUAUACAUUUAAGAUUUAGUGCGAAUGUUUCUUCUUUUUAGAUUUGUGAGAAACAGCCUACGGUUGUAGUAUAUAGUUAGAGUGUAUGGUUGCAGUGUAUGGUUGGAGUGUAUGGUAGCAGUGUAUGUGAAUUUUGGUUUACCUGUACCAUAAUAUAACUAAUUAUUACUGCUCUCUAAUUUAAUAAAUGCAGUUACAUUUAAAAUUUUAAUGUUUUCAAUAGAGCAAGUUAGUUCUUCCACUUAUCUGAUAGGUUAGAGCUAGCUUUUCAAACAGGGAUUGUGUAAAAUGAUAUGUGUAAAAAAUACCGAAACGUUCCUUUUUCAUAUGCAUCUGUUCUUGCAGUGUUAUGUUAUGUUUUAACAUAGGAUUCAACCACUAAAAUUCUCAUGGUUUUUUCUAAAUUUACAAGUACAUGCGUAUAGAAUAUAACUUACCAUUAAAUUCUACGGAUGUAUAUUGUACAUACAAGAUGGCAAUUAUGUAUAAAUAAGAUGAGAUCUCAAAUAUAUGAGUGAUAUAAAGCACUGAUAUAUAUCCUUUUUGAGACCUUGAAAUAUAUAUUCUAUUUUUGCAUUAAAAGAGUUAAAGGAUGUUAUAGAUAGGAGAAAAACAGUAGCAAAUUAAUGUAAAGAUAAUACGAAAAUAAAUCAAUGGAAGAUAAAAGAUGCAAGAGCAAAACAUUACAUAAUGAGAACAAUAUACAAAACAAUGAGGCCAGAAGUUUUAAUUCGUGAGACAUAAACAGAAAUGUAUAAAAAAUUAAAAAUUAUGUAUAAGAAAUAAAAUUCAAGAAAAAGUACUGUUAUUUUAAGAACUAUACAAGUAUAAAUAUAACAAGAGCAAAGACAUUAAGGGGGGCUUUAAUUCUUUGGAACUGACAAACUUUUUCUUUAGGUAUAAUUGGUCUAUGACCGGCGGUAUAGAGAUUCAAAAAUAAAUGUUGUGUUUAUCUACUUAUCUAUUAGGUCGGUGCGUAUGAAAUGUCGGAUUUUCUUUAAAUGUGAACGUUUGUCUCCCUGUUUUUGUUAUGUUUUUGUUUUUGAUAUAACCUGGUUUAUAGUCGUACUGUCCAUUGCUAGAGUCACAUUUUAGCAAAGAAAAUUUUCUCAAAAGUGUUUCCUUUUGUUAUUUGCUUUGAAUUUUGCACCGAUAUGAAUUCAACCGAUAUUCGUAUAAUUUUCUUAUAUGAGUAUAAACUUGGUAAUAAUGAUGCAAAAGCUGCACGCAAUAUAAACCAGGCGUUUGGGGAGAAUACUGUGAACGAUCGAAAAGUGCAGCGUUUUUUUUAUUUAUCAAGUAAAUCAAUUCUUUGAUCUAACGUCUUACAUAUUGUUUAUAUAUACACAUAUAAGUAUAUAUAUAUAUAUAUAUAUAUAUAUAUAUAUGUAUUCCAAAUUUUUUUCAAAUUUUCUUUUCGGAAGAACUCAAAGAAUUAUAUUUCGGGGCAAAUGAUAAUAUUUGAAGAUAUAUCAUCAAAAUCGAUAGGAAAGUCCGGACAGACAAUAAUAACAUUUCUUAAGCUAUAUCUUGGAAAAGGUUAUACAUUCAUGACCGAUAAUUGAUACAACAGUCCCAGUUUAUUCCUCGAGUCACAUAAAAAUUUAACCAACGUAUAUGAAACGAUAAGAAAAAAAAAGUUGGGUAUACCGAAAUAGAAUAAAAAGAUAAAAAAGAAUAUAUUUCGUUCAACAAAAAGAAUAUUAGCGUUGAAAUGGAUGAACAAAAGGGAAGUGUGGACGAUUUUCAUUUAUCAUGAACUACCCAAUAUGAUUGAUACAAACAAGAUACAUUACUUAAUAAAAUAAAAAAUAAUCAAACCACUAUGUAUAAUUGAUUAUAAUAAUACAACGGGAGCGAUUGGCAAAGUUGAUCAGAUUUUAUAUAAUCUGUAUUCUACUAGAAAAAGUUUAAAAUGAUACAAGAAAUUCUGUUUUUAUUUAUUUGAUUUUGCUGUAUAAUACAUUUUUAUAAUACAUUUUUGUGUAUAAUACAUUUGUUUUAUAUAACUAUGUAACUGGAUGAAAGAAACGUAUCUUUCAGUAAAUUAAAAUGAACAAGUUUUACAAAAAUAUAGUUCAGGUAGAACAUACAAAUGCAAAUCAAAAGGUAAAAGUACUGACAAUGAGCCUUUUCGUUUGAUACAAAAGCAUUUUCCGUCUACAUACGUAACUCCGUAAAAGACGGAGUUUCUCUUUACACUUCGACCAGUGCACAUCGGCUCUUUCUCUUUCUACACGCGUAAACUUAUAAAUUAAUAAUUUCGUUCUCAUAGCGUACAUUAACAACCUCUUGUAUUAUCUCGGCGCGGUGAGACAGUAAGCGUACAUCGUAUGGGUGCUGGCUCAGACAUGCCACCAAUAAAGUUAAAAAUCUCUAAGUUGGGAGACACCUGCUCUAUACGGAACAGAUCAAAUAAUGAAGUAGAGGAUAUCGAAAUGUCCACUAAUGCUUCAAUUUACCGAGCUGAGUCCCUAUCUACUAGCAAAAAAAGAUAAUCUAAUAAAAUCGCAGAUAUGACAAAUUCACGCACGUUCCAUCAAUCUGAAAUGUGGCUACAAGAUAUACCUACACACAACUCAUACAGUAUCUUCUCUGAAACCGAUGCUACACCGAUAGAUAAUACCAAAAUAAAUGAAGACACCAAACAAAUGAAGAUACCAAAACAAAUGAAGACACCAAAAUAAAUGAAGACACCAAACAAAUGAAGACACCAAAACAAAUGAAGGAAACAAAUCUCCUUCUAUUUACACUCAAGCUUAAGUCAUUGAACUGCUGAUAGAAUUACUCGUAUAACAAGCAUAAUAAUUUUACUUUAAAGUAAAAACUCACAGAUAAGCAGACAAAAGUCCAGUUAUCAUCCUCGGACCACUAUAGAAAAGUAAUAAACGAGUUAAAAAGUAAAGACGCAAAUUUUCACAUCUAUCAACUUAAAGGUGAAAGACAUUACAAGGUAAUUCUAUCGGAAUUCAUCCAAAAACAAAUUUACAGAAAAUAAUGAUGAAUUUAAGCAACACAAACACGUUAUUAGAUCGAUUAAUAAUAUAGUCAAAUAUAAUACUAAACACCCACUACCUCUAUUUGCUAUUGAACUUGAACCAAAUAAUAAUAACAAGGACAUAUACAGCAUAGAAAAACUACUCAACACAUUAAUUAAAUUCAAACCGCCAAGACCGAAACGCGACAUACCUCAAUGCCAUUGCUGCCAAACCUACGGUCAUACGAAAAAUUACUGCAAUAGGUUAGCUGCUUGUGUUAAAUGUGCAGGCAAUCACUUAACUACAUUUUGCCCAUAACAGGGUAAACUAGUAAACGUAAAGUGCUUUAAUUACCAAAGUAAUUAUCCAGCAAGUUAUAAAGACGAUUUGCAACAAAAACAUCAAAUAACCAUCAUGUUAGACCUCUUAAUUAAAUUCUUGAAUACCUACAAAUAAUGGAUGGAUCAAUCAGAAUAGUUGUUUGGAACAGCAACGGGUUACAACAAAGAAUUCAAAAACUCAAAAUUUUCAUCUACACACAUAAUAUUGAUAUUAUGGCAAUUUUGGAAACUCAUCUUAGAGUUAAAAAUUAUAUAAAAAUACUACACUACAGCAUAUAUGAUACUAAGUAUCGGGAAAAGGCAUACGAGGGUUCUGUGAUUAUCAUUAAAAAUAAUAUUAAACACUAUUUAUAUGCCAAUACUUCACUUGACUAUCUACAAGCAACAACAAUUACACUAGAAAACAUAACCGGAGAAACACAAAUAUCGGCUUUAUAUUCACUGCCAAAACAUAAAAUUACUCAAGAGCAAUAUUCAAACUUCUUUAAAAGUCUAGGAAACAAAUUUAUAGCAGUAGGAGAUUACAAUGCUAAGCACAAAUAUUGGGGAUCAAAAAAAACUUCAUCUAGAGGUAAAACACUGCUCGAAAUCACAUAGAAAUUAUCAUUAACACCACAAAGGGGGGAACACCACCUAUUGGCCAGCAGCAUCAAACAAAUCACCAGAUCUUCUAGAUUUCGCCAUAACUAAAGGACUGAACAAAACGCACUUCAAAUUAAUCUCAAGCACAGAACUGAGCUUUGAUCAUACACCUAUACUGUUAGAAUUUCUAUAAAAAUUAAUCCACAUAGAAGCUACACCCAAAUUAUAUAAUAAAAAUACGGACUGGGAUAAAUUUAUGUCAACUAUUGACGAAAAACUAAAUUGAAAAAACAUCAGAACACAUCAAGAAUGCCGUGGACUAUUUAACAAAAAUAAUUCGAGUCAGCAUGGUUAUCUACUUCUAAUAUACAAGAAAAUAAAACGAGCUAUUCAUAUCCAGCCUAUGUUUUCCAGAAAAUUAAACAAAAAAGAAAAGCUAAAUACAAAUGGCAAAGGCAUAAAACAGAAGAAAAUGAAAGGCAGUUAAAUGCACUCACAAGAGAGGUUAAAAUAAUGAUAAAAGAAUACUGUAAUUCCGAGUUUAGCAAAUAUCUCUUAAACCUUACGCCAAAUGAAGAUACUAGAUACUACUAAUAAAACUAUUUACUUUGGAAGGCAAUAAAAAAAUUAAAAAGACCAAUAAUGCAGACUCCAGCAUUGCGAAAACCAGACGGAUCUUGGGCAAAGACGUUCACGGAACAAGCCAAGAUAUUUGCAAACCACUUAUAUCAAACUUUUCAGCCAAAUAAUAUCGCUACGACAAUAAAGGCUACAACUGUAUGCGAUAGUACUGAAAGUAAAGAUCAAAACAAUUUGAUAUACAAGAUUACAAAAAAGAAAUAAAGCAAUUGAUAAAUACAAUAAGUAAAUUUAUAGAUAAAUACAAAAAGUAAAUACUAAAAAAUCUCCAGGCUUUGAUCUCAUUAGUGGGAAAGUAAUUAAAGAACUCCCAGAAAGAGCCAUCAGAAUGAUUACCAUAAUAUUUAACGCCAUACUUAGACUUCACUACUUCCCUGAAACUGACAGAAAUAAUAAUGCUGCCUAAGCCGAAUAAAAAUAUUCAUGAACCAUCCUCUUACAGACCUAUUUCUUUAUUACCGAUUCUAUCCAAACUUUUAGAAAAAGUAAUAUUAGCUAGAAUUAAAAAAAUAAUUAAUAAAAAACGAUUAAUAUCAGAUCAACAAUUUGGCUUUAGAGAGAAACAUGCUACAACUGAACAGGUUUAUAGAUUAAUUAACCAAAUAACAACUAUGGAAAACAAGAAAUACUGUACAUGUCUAUUCUUAGAUGUAGAAAAAGCUUUUGACAAGGUAUGGCAUGAUAGUACCAAUUUAUCUAUUACUUAAAUCAUACCUAAACAAUAGAACCUUUUACGUUAAAGUUAAAGACUCACACUCAACUGUACACGUAAUAUUUGCUGGUGUACCAUAAGGAAGUGUACUGGAUCCGGACCUCUAUACGCUCUACACUGCGGAUAUCUCCACAACGCAAGAUACUAUAUUAAGUACAUUCGCCGACGACAUUGCAAUUUUAACUACACACGAAGAUCUACAAGAAGCAGCUAUAAUCUUGCAAAAUCACAUAAAAUAGCUUGAAAAAUGGCUGAUAGAUCGAAAAAUUAAAAUCAACUACAAUAAGUGCAAUCACAUUACAUUCACUCUUCGCAAAGCCAAAGUACCAACAAUCAUUAUACACAAUAAUGAAAUACCCCAAACUAAAUUAAUUAAAUAUCUGGGUUUGCAUCUUGACUCUAAACUAACCUGGAAACAACGCAUUCAUAAAAAAAUACUACAAAUUAAAUUUAGAAGAAAAGACAUUUAUUGGUUAACAGGUCGAAAAUCUAAACUAAGUAUAGAAAAUAAGUUACUAAUAUAAAAAAUAAUAAUAAAGCCUAUUUAGAUGUACGGCAUCCAGUUAUGGUGUCCGGCAGCUAAAAGCCAUAUCUCUAAAAUGGAAGCUAUGCAAUCAAUAAUAAUCCGCACAUUUGUGGACGCGCCAUGAUAUGUCAAAAAUGAGGACAUACAUAAAGAUUUACAAAUCCCAGCAGUACCAAAGGAUACAGUGGAUGUCUGACAAAUACAAAUCAAGGACCCUAAACCACCCUAACCCGCUUGCCAACACUCUCUACAACAAUACAGCAAAGAGACUUAAAAAAAAAGGCCUCAAGAUCUAGUUACGCAAGUCUGAAACAACAGUAUAUUAUAAUAGUGCUAUACUCAAUUGAGUAAAACAACUCCCUGAAUGUCUCACGUGACAAAUUACGGGGAAGUUAUAAAAAAAACUGGAAAGUUAUAAAAAAAAAAAAAAAAAAAAAAAAAAAAAAACGUAAAAGAUGCAGCAAAUCGAAAAAA
Vespa mandarinia (Asian giant hornet) is the source of this 7604-nucleotide long non-coding RNA. The record is from RefSeq and is a predicted model, not a curated record. Lineage: Eukaryota; Metazoa; Arthropoda; Insecta; Hymenoptera; Vespidae.